RNA transcript from Carlito syrichta (Philippine tarsier), 724 nucleotides. It is a transcript of the gene named neo-calmodulin pseudogene, with no coding region annotated. Lineage: Eukaryota; Metazoa; Chordata; Mammalia; Primates; Tarsiidae. The record is from RefSeq and is a predicted model, not a curated record. The transcript has a single exon.
AAAAUGAGCCGGUCCAAGCAGAGUGAGCAAGCCGAGCGGUUGUGUGUUUGCAUCUCGGAAGUAGCUCUUGCAGCAUGGCUGACCAACUGACUGAAGAGUAGAUGGCAGAAUUCAAAGAAGUUUUUUCACUAUUUGACAAGGAUGGUGAUAGAACUAUAACAACAAAGGAAUUGGGAACUGUAAUGAGGUGUCUUGAGCAAAAUCCCACAGAAGUAGAGUUACAGGACAUGAUUAAUGAAGUAGAUGCUGAUGGUAAUGGCACAAUUGACUUCCCUGAAUUUCUGACAAUGAUGGCAAGAAAAAUGAAAGAUACAGAGAGUGAAGAAGAAAUUAGAGAAGCAUUCCAUGUGUUUGAUAAGGAUGGCAAUGGCUAUAUUAGUGCAGCAGAGCUUCGCCAUGUGAUGACAAACCUUGGAGAGAAGUUAACAGAUGAAGAGGUUGAUGAAAUGAUCAGGAAAGCAGAUAUCGAUGGUGAUGGUCAGGUAAACUAUGAAGAGUUUGUACAAAUGAUGACAGCAAAGUGAAGACAUUGUACCAAAUGUGUUAAAUUUAUUGUACAAAAUUGUUUAUUUGCCUUUUCUUUGUAACUUAUCUGUAAAAAGUUUCUCCCUACUGUGAAAAAAAUAUGCGUGUAUAGUAAUUAGGACUUCAUUCCUCCAUGUUUUCUCCCUUAUCUUACUGUCAUUGUCCUGAAACCUUAUUUUAGAAAAUUGAUCAAGUAACA